GGCCAGACUCCUACGGGAGGCAGCAGUGGGGAAUAUUGGGCAAUGGGCGAAAGCCUGACCCAGCAACGCCGCGUGAAGGAAGAAGGCUUUCGGGUUGUAAACUUCUUUUGACAGGGAAGAGCAGAAGACGGUACCUGUCGAAUAAGCCACGGCUAACUACGUGCCAGCAGCCGCGGUAAUACGUAGGUGGCAAGCGUUAUCCGGAUUUACUGGGUGUAAAGGGCGUGUAGGCGGGACUGCAAGUCAGAUGUGAAAACCAUGGGCUCAACCUGUGGCCUGCAUUUGAAACUGUAGUUCUUGAGUACUGGAGAGGCAGACGGAAUUCCUAGUGUAGCGGUGAAAUGCGUGGAUAUUAGGAGGAACACCAGUGGCGAAGGCGGCCUGCUGGACGACAACUGACGGUGAGGCGCGAAAGCGUGGGGAGCAAACAGGAUUAGAUACCCGAGUA
This 448-nucleotide ribosomal RNA is filed under the name uncultured bacterium. Its description in RNAcentral is "bacterial SSU rRNA". It matches the Rfam family "Bacterial small subunit ribosomal RNA", at positions 329 to 792 of the family's 1533-position model. The record is from RNAcentral.